RNAcentral lists this transfer RNA (71 nucleotides) under Camelus bactrianus (Bactrian camel). It matches the Rfam family "tRNA". From Rfam's summary of the family: Transfer RNA (tRNA) molecules are approximately 80 nucleotides in length. Their secondary structure includes four short double-helical elements and three loops (D, anti-codon, and T loops). Further hydrogen bonds mediate the characteristic L-shaped molecular structure. tRNAs have two regions of fundamental functional importance: the anti-codon, which is responsible for specific mRNA codon recognition, and the 3' end, to which the tRNAs corresponding amino acid is attached (by aminoacyl-tRNA synthetases). tRNAs cope with the degeneracy of the genetic code in two manners: having more than one tRNA (with a specific anti-codon) for a particular amino acid; and 'wobble' base-pairing, i.e. permitting non-standard base-pairing at the 3rd anti-codon position. Lineage: Eukaryota; Metazoa; Chordata; Mammalia; Artiodactyla; Camelidae. The record is from Rfam by way of RNAcentral. RNAcentral also lists the same sequence under 1 other name.
GAGGGUAUAGCUCAGUGGUAGAGUGUGUGCCUAGCAUGCAUGAGGUCCUGGGUUCAACACCAGUACCUCUG